Molecule: RNA transcript, 3168 nt
Organism: Phycodurus eques (leafy seadragon)
Lineage: Eukaryota; Metazoa; Chordata; Actinopteri; Syngnathiformes; Syngnathidae
Exons: 4
Source: RefSeq, a predicted model, not a curated record
UAGAGAACUCUUCCUUUAUUGUUUUGUUUUUGUGACUUUGAAAGAAACGAAAGUACUUUUCAGUGCCGUUGAGUCUGCAACUUGUCAUUUCCUGCCUCACCAUGUACACGAUUCAUGUGCUCUUCGUCCUUCUGUCAGUCUAUCUUUCAUUGCCGUGCAGAGCCCAAGCCAAAGCAGGAGUACAGUACAUGUAUGUGAGCUGGUCCAAGAUGCAGCUGCACGGUGAUCCGCCGACACCGCGGCGCCGAGGUCUGGUGUUACGCGACCUGCCCGAAGGGGUGGCGGAGCACUAUGUGGGCCUGACGCGGGAGGUGGUGCUGGACAACGACACUAGCGACAUCCUGCUGCCCAACGUGACGUGCGGCGACGCCGGCGAGUACGUCUGCUCGUUGCAGGCGCCCGUCGGAGAGUGGAUCCAAAGGGGGAUGGUGGUCCUCGAGCUGUCUGGUACGAAUUGCCGGAAACGAUCCUCAUACAGUUGUACCUUGAGUCCCCCAACUUAGGAGCUUUUAACUUUUUAACCAACAUUGUGGUUACGAGUGAAUCUCAGAUACACUACCGUGCGAGUGAAGUGGAAAAAAAAAUAGAGCAAUUAAGGUACUGUAAUUUAUCAGCAUUAUUACUGGUUCAAUAAAUGGUAGGUAUACGUGAAUAUUACUUGAAGCACUUUGUUGCUUUGUUAUUGUCUUGAUCUUAAUUCUUUGCACUUUAUUGCAUGAAUUGGAUGCCGGUUGUACGACCAAAUAUUUUGAAUGGUACUUACUUGGUCCCUGUGUUUUAUUUUAUUUAUUUGUGAUUGGGUUUUCUAUAUAAAAUAUGUUUUAGUAAAUAUGAAUAUGGCACCCAUCUCAUGUAAAAAAAAAAAAAAAAGGAAAAAUACUGUAUCGGGAUAUGUAUUGUUAUUGGGAUAUUCAAUUACCUAAUCAUAUAUCCUGGUGAUUUUCUCCAUAUUGCACAGCACAAGUUUGGCCUUCACAAUUUCGCUGAUUUCAGGCCAAAAUAAAAAAAGUUGUGAGGGAUAGUGUUUUUUUCUUCCAGUUUUGAGAUGUCUUGUUUUGUUGAUGGGCCUUGAAUGUACAAAGUGAAAGUGCAAGUACAACCCCAAUUCCAAUGAAUUAACUUUGAAUUUUAUGGCUGCAACACGUUCCAAAAAAGAUGGGCCAGGGUCAUGUUUACCACUGUGCUCCAUCACCUUUUCUUUUAAAAACAUUCAAUAAACAUUUGGGAACUGAGGAAUCUAAUUGUUGAAGCUUUGGAGGUGGAAUUCUUUCCCAUUCUUGCCUGAUGUACAGCUUCAGCUGUUCAACAAUCCGGGGUCUCCGUUGUUGUAUUUUAAGCUUCAUAAUGUGCCACACAUUUUCAAUGGGAGACCGGUCUAGACUGCAGGCAGGCCAAUCUAGUACCCGCACUCUCUUACUACGAAGCCACGCGCGCUGUUGUAACAUGGGCAGAAUAUGGUUUGGCAUUGUCUUGCUGAAAUAAGCAGGGGCGUCCAUGAAAAAGAUGUUGCUUGGAUGGCAGCAUAUGUUUCCCCAAAACCUGUAUGUACAUUUCAGCAUUAAUGGUGCCUUCACAGAUGUGUAGGUUACCCAUGCCAUUGGCACUAACCUAGAUGAUGAAUUCCCUAAAUUCUUUGCAAUUGUACGUUGAGGAACAUUGUCCUUAAACUGUUCGACUAUUUUCUCACACACUUGUUCACAAAGAGGUGAACCUCGCCCCAUCUUUGCUUCUGAAUGACUGCGCAAUUCAGGGAAGCUCCUUUUGUACCCAAUCAUGGGACCCACCUGUUCCCAAUUAGCCUGUUCACCUGUGGGAUCUUCCAAACAGGUGUUUGAUGAGCAUUCCUCAACUUUUUUUGCCACGUCUCAACUUCAUUGGAAUUGGGGUUGUAAAAGUUAUGUUUCUGCUUCUCUCCCGACGCGGUUUCAAAUAGCUGGUGCAGUCUGCCUGUAUUCGUUUACAUUCACUGUUGUAUUUAAAUGACAAAAGGUGAGUUUAGUGACUUAAGGGCUUGUGCAUAUAUUUGUUUGCCCAUGUGUGAUGUCACGUCAGUUUGUGCUGAUUUGUUAUUUAGGUUAGAAAGCUAGUUAAAAGGGCUAUUAUUGAUGAGCCUCAUGUGAAGUUGGUUUGCUUGUGUGGUAUAAUUACUGACUACAGUUAUUAAUAUAACAUGGGUUCAUGAUUGUGUACAGUACGUCUAGAUGUAUGGUGUUGAUCCUUUACGAUAUUCUCAGGUUUAAGUCCUUUGCUGCCAUCUCGUGGCACCAAUAUGCAGUUACAAACCCCUUUUCGGGGUGUGUCAAUUCGAAAUAGGAUUUUUCCCUAUUUUGCAAUAUGAUAUGGUGAUUUCUGUAUCUCCAUUUUUUCCCCCCUCCUUAUCAAAACACAAUAAUUUCGCUUUAACAAAACCGUUGUAAUAUUGAACAUCUACUUAUCUUUUAUGACCAAUUCCAGAUUGCAACUGACACUCCCGUCGGAAACGUAGACAAUCCGGUUGGAAACGUUGACAUUCCCGUUGGAAACCUAAGAAUGAAUGUUGAAAUUAACAUUUUGAUUUCCGCCGGGCUGACGCUUGUGCUGGUCUUCCUGGUGGUUUCUUGUUGUUUGAGAAAGCUCCAGCAUGACCAAAAGAAAGCGUGGCAAGCAGACGUCGCAUCACUUCAUGCUACGCUCAAGUCUCAGGAUGUGAUUCCAUUUUCGGGGUCCUAGUUCUCCGAAGACAACCACCAUAAAGCAAGCACACGGGUGUUCAAAGUCACACCGCUCCUAUUUGAAAUUGCUAACCACUAUAUGAAAAUACAAUAGGAAAGUCGCUCGUAAAAUAUAAUGCAAGGAGGAUGCUGGGUAAAACCAUACAGCUCCAUUUGAAUAUAUUUCAAUACGGUGGUGUAGUAUAAUUCUUUUUUUUUUUUUUUUUAAAGGGAGUUCCUGAUGAGUCACCAUACGGUAUGACAUAAAAGCAGAAGUUGAAAACAUUGUGUCACCUGUCCUGUACCAUCUGUCUAUUUUCUUAAAUGCUUAUCUUCAACUAGGGUCAUAAUUAUAAUUAUAUUAUAAAUAUAAUUAUAAUUAUAUUUAAGUAUUCAAGAUGUCACCUGCCCUGUAUUUUCCGAUACUAUGAUGUACUUGUGUCAGUGCUGAAGUCAUGUGUUGUCGUGGCCGAGUGGU